AAUAAUUUGCCACCAUAACUAAGACUAACAAAAUUGAUAGUACAAGAUAAAAUUAUUACUUUCUAUUUACAGAAAAAUACUAUGUUUCGCUAUAAGAUAUUUCCUUUUAUCAUGAUGACAAAAAAAAACAUCUUGAUCUAGGCUAUUUGGACAAAAUAAUGACAAGGCUAUUUGGACAAAAUAAUGACAAUGAACUGAGAAAACUAAAUCACAUCAGUAAAUUUAAUUUUAAGCAAAAAAAGGUUAAUAUUAGCAUGACAAAAGGCUAGCUACCCACGCAAAUUGAGCGGGCCACC
Molecule: long non-coding RNA, 296 nt
Filed under: Setaria viridis
Lineage: Eukaryota; Viridiplantae; Streptophyta; Magnoliopsida; Poales; Poaceae
Description: long non-coding RNA (SVIR_LNC007433)
Source: RNAcentral